RNAcentral lists this ribosomal RNA (242 nucleotides) under uncultured bacterium. RNAcentral describes it as "partial small subunit ribosomal RNA". It matches the Rfam family "Bacterial small subunit ribosomal RNA", at positions 26 to 280 of the family's 1533-position model. The record is from RNAcentral.
AGAAUCAACGCUGGCGGCGUGCCUAACACAUGCAAGUCGAACGAGAAAGUGGAGCAAUCCAUGAGUACAGUGGCGCACGGGUGAGUAACACGUGACUAACCUACCUUCGAGUGGGGGAUAACCUCGGGAAACCGAGGCUAAUACCGCAUAACAUCGUGAGAUCAAAGCAGUAAUGCGCGUGGAAGAGGGGGUCGCGGCUGAUUAGCGUAGUUGGCCGGGUAAUGGCCCACCAAGGCGAAGAU